RNAcentral lists this transfer RNA (73 nucleotides) under Camelus bactrianus (Bactrian camel). It matches the Rfam family "tRNA". Rfam says of the family: Transfer RNA (tRNA) molecules are approximately 80 nucleotides in length. Their secondary structure includes four short double-helical elements and three loops (D, anti-codon, and T loops). Further hydrogen bonds mediate the characteristic L-shaped molecular structure. tRNAs have two regions of fundamental functional importance: the anti-codon, which is responsible for specific mRNA codon recognition, and the 3' end, to which the tRNAs corresponding amino acid is attached (by aminoacyl-tRNA synthetases). tRNAs cope with the degeneracy of the genetic code in two manners: having more than one tRNA (with a specific anti-codon) for a particular amino acid; and 'wobble' base-pairing, i.e. permitting non-standard base-pairing at the 3rd anti-codon position. RNAcentral also lists the same sequence under 2 other names. The record is from Rfam by way of RNAcentral. Lineage: Eukaryota; Metazoa; Chordata; Mammalia; Artiodactyla; Camelidae.
AAAAGUAUAGCUCAGUGGUAGAGCACGUGCUUAGCACGCAUGAGGUCCUGGGUUCAAUCCCCCAGUACCUCUA